Molecule: long non-coding RNA, 780 nt
Organism: Setaria italica (foxtail millet)
Lineage: Eukaryota; Viridiplantae; Streptophyta; Magnoliopsida; Poales; Poaceae
Exons: 2
Source: RefSeq, a predicted model, not a curated record
GCCGAGCUCAGCGACGACCGCGACGCGGAGGAGGGGAGCUUCGUCAUGCGGCGUUUUCCCCCCGAAACUGGGGUGUGGGAGAAGCUGGUGGGCUUGCCGUCCCCGCUUCCGCUCCCGCGGCGGAUGGACAUAUACCACGAGGUGCUUGCCUUCGCCGGACGGCUGUGGUGGGUUGAUCUGAGCUGGGGUGCCGUCUCCGCCGACCCGUUCAGCGACCGACCUGAGCUCAGCUUUGUCGAGCUUCCGAGUGCCAGCGUGCUGCCAGUGCCCAGCACCAUUGCAGAGUAUGAUGCGGCACGAGAGGUGCAGGGAGUGUACCGGCGCUUGGGGGUCAGCGAGGGGAGGCUGCGCUAUGUGGAGCUGUCCCAGAAGAUGCCUUUCCUGCUCAGCUCGUUUGUCCUUGAUGAAGAUGGCAGGAGCUGGACGCUGGAGCACCAAAUGGCACUUGGCGUACUCUGGGAGAAAAUAGACCCACCGCCUGAGGAGCACUACCCACGGAUUGGCGUUGUUGACCCAUUGAACUGAAGCUUGAUGUAUGUCACAAUCGGCAACCUUGCUUUGGCUGUUGACAUGGGCAGGGUGUUGGUCCGUGGGUCUUUAAUAGAUGAACUGGGAGCAGUUGCCAGCACCUUGUUCCUUAAACAAUGUGUGCUCCCACCGUGGCUUAGAUCGAGCAGGAUCCCUUCUGCAGGAACUCUUUCGAGCAACAAGGACAAUACAAGAAGCAAGACUUUGUCAGACAUACUGGUUCGUGCAGACAGAGACAAGAAGAAUUGAGGU